GGGUCUUGCGCUGUCACGCAGGCUGGAGUAUAGUGGUGCAAUCAUAGCUCCACUAUGCAGCCUUGAUGCAGAAAUCAUGCAGCCUUGAUCUUCCUGGUUCAAGAGAUUCUCCCACUGUAGCCUCCCUGGUAGCUGGGACUACAGGCACACACAACCAUGCCUGGCUAAUUUUUUAAAAUUUUUAGUAGAGAGGAGGUCUGGCUGUUUUCAGGCUGGUCUUAAACUGCUGGGCUCAAGCAGUCCUCUUGCCUCAGCCUCCCAAAGUGCUGGGAUUACAGGCAUAAGCCACCAUGCCCAGUCCUUUGCCCAUUUUAAAAUCAGGUUAUUUGUUUUCUUGCUAUUUAGUUGUUUGAGUUCCUUAUGUAUUUUGGAUGUUAGCUCAUUAUCACAUGUAUGCUUUGCAAAUUUCCUCCCAACCCAUGAAUUGUCUUUUCAUUCUGUUGUUUCCUUUACUGUGAAGAAGCGUUUUAGUUUGAUGCAAUCCAUUUGUCUAUUUUUUUUAUUGCCUGUGCUGUUGGGGUCAUAUUUAGGAAGUUAUUGCUCAGCCCAAUGUCGUGGAGCUAUUCCUAGUUUUCUUCAAGUAGUUUUACAGUUUCAGGUCUUAAAUACUUAAGUCUUUAAUCCAUUUUGAGUUCAUUUUUGCAUAUAUUGUGAGUUAACAGUCUAAUUUCAUUCUUCUGCAUGUGUAUCUACAGUUUUCCCAACAUUAUUUAUUGAAGAGAUGUUCUUUCCCCAUUGUGUGCUCUUGGCACAUUUGUCAAAAAUCAAUUGAACAUAAAUUCAUAGAUUUAUUUCUGGGCUUUCUAUUCUGUUCCAGUGGUUGGUGAGUGGUAACAAUUUUAACUAAUGUCGACUGUUGACCUUUGAGUACUUCCUAUGUACCCAGCUCUAUUUAAGGUGCAAUAAGGUAGGUAGAUAGUGUUAUCCCCAUUUUACAGAGGAGGAUAUUGAGGCUCAUAAGAGGUUGAGCAAUUUGCCAAACUUUAUAUUUACAAUUCAAACUCAGGAAAUCAAGCUGCAGAGUCCAUGCCCUUUACUAUUACGUAAACUGCCUCUUGCUGAUUGACUUUAUUGAGGAAAAAGAAAAAAUCUUAGAAGUUGGAGGAAAUGGGAAGUCAGUACAGCAGUGAUAAUGUGAUCUGUUUUGUAGGACAUUAGAUUUUUUCAAAUUAGUGAUUAUUUUGGAGUACUUUUGCUAAAGUCUGUGUUUCUGAAACAAAGUGCCUUCAUCCAGUGGGCUAAAUCUGAGAAUAAUUUAUCACAUAUUUGGCAUAUCUUUCUUAGGCUAUAUGUGCUAAUCCCUAACAUGAGCUGAGUUUGAGAACUUAAUGUUUUUACAUAUUACCUCAGAGACUGAAAUCAGUUCUUAAACCAGUAUUGGGUUUUGCCAUUCAGAGAGGCACUGUGGGGCCAUGCCAAGAAACAAAUUAGCUAAAAGUAAGGCUUUCCUUCAGUCGACAACAGUGGGUCUCCUUUCAUCUUGUGGCUCUUUUAAGCUCUCUAACAACCUCUUUCUGUCCUUUCGACUCCAUUCACCUCAAACCCAACAGUUCUUUUUUAUAGUCAACACUGCUAAAUAGUUAUUCAGAGCCCUGCAGCUCUCAUUUCAUUCUUGGCUUUGUCUAAGUUCCUGAGAGAGCUGCAAAAAGAGGUUGAAGAAGUGAAAAUCAUCAGCUCACCCUGUUUGCAUAUCCUGCAGUUUGCCAGCACCCCCUGAGAAAGUUCAAAGUCUAAGGGUACAGUGAGCAGAGAAGCCUCUCCAGGGAGGUUCCCAGUAGCUUGUUUGUUUCACAUUGUGCUCUGGGGUAUAUUUGUUUUUAUUCAGGAAGGUAUUGCCUUUUUAUUUCUUGAUAUAUUUUAUAAGAAAAUGUUUUCUCUUAACAUGAGAGCAAAUUAUACUUAUUUGCUGAACAAAGCAAAGCUAUCUGCAAGGACAUUUUAGUUUUCACUUCAAGCAUCAUUGCUUUUGGCAAUUGUAGACAAAUUAUCGUACUGUUUGAUGAGGUGUAAAAUAAUACGCUUUAACUGGAGAAUGAACACAUUUCCAGAUACAAUAUUAUCGUUCUCUUCUUUUUCAAGUAAUAAUUUCCAAAAGAUGAAUUUUAAUGGACUUUUGCCAUUUAACCAAAGUGAAUCCUUGAGUCUCUGAAGUUGCCCCCACUUAGCACCCGCGUAUAUAACACUUAACAAUUAUUUACACUUUUGAUUAAAUUCAACCUUUAUGUCUGUUUGCAAAAAAGAAUACAUACAAUUUUCUUCACAAAAACCCCAGUGUCAGACAUUUUGUUUUGAUCUUUUUCUUGGCGUAUUAAACUGACAUUGGGCACCAAGAUGAUGAAUUAUGGAAAUACUGCAUUCCUCCCCAGAGGGCCUCAUGACUUUAACUAAAUAUUCUCAUGGCCCAGUCAUUGUGUAGAUUUGCUUUUAAACAUGUCCAGUCUUGGCAUUUUAAAAUAACAUUUUAGAAAUUCACCAGGAAAGGAAGGUGACCGUACAGUUAUCAGAUGAUAAAUUCUAAUCAUGGGACAUUCGCGUGGGUCGUUUGUAAUUGAAGACAGUGCAUCCUUUGUAACUGAAGCUAGUGCAAAUGAGGACAGGAGUGGAGGGACAGAAAGCGGAGAGGUGUACAGCUGCUCUUCUUGCACUGUACCCCUCAUAUCUGCAGCCGGGAUCAGUCUAGAUCUCAUUUGUGAUGCUUGGGUGCCUUGGGGGCUUGGGAAGCCAGCUCAGGCCUUGUGAUCCACUCGGAUUAGUGUUGUCCGGGGUUCUCACUUUCUGACUCCUGGAGGACGAAAUGCCAGAGAGGGAGUGGGAGUGAUUCUUGAGAAUGAAAACAUGAUUUGGGUAGUGAAGAGGUGGAGAGGAGAGGCAGAGGGGAUGUGGAAAAGAGGUAGAAGCAGGGAAGUAAGCAUGAAUAAAGAGUAAAUUGGGCAGGGAGAACAAGAAGGAAAACACUUUCUUCCCCUUACUCCUCCCUGUUUGACAGUCUGGCUAUUUCUGCUUUCUCCCUUAGUUUCCUCUUUUCUCUCCCCCUUUCAUGGCACUGCUCUCCAAAACUUGUUCUGGCAACCCUCUGCCUCAUCUUUUUGUGUCCUUCCCCAACCCCUAUCUCCACCCACCAGCCCAGUUCACUUCCUUUAGUUGCCCCAGCCCCCUUUGCCUAGGGACCCACCAGUGAGUGCCACAUUCACAGCCAUGUCUGGUGCAGUCUGAAACACCUGAGGCCACUCAGGGUCUGUAUUAGAAUUAACCUUUACUAACAGGUUUAACCAGACUUUCCAGGUUCCUUUUAAGUCAGAAUGAACCCCUGCCUUGACCUUGCCCAUCCUCAAAUUGGGGGGCAGCCUCCAGAUCCACAAGACAUGAGAAGCAGGAGCAGGCCUGCCACGUCCCUGACAUGGCGGUAGAGAUUUUAUGAAUGGUAGCUCGGUUCUCCAUCAGUGGUAGCUGAUGGUAGCUUAGUGUCUCCAUCAGUCCUUCAGACAGCAGUGAGAAGAUGUGGGCAACAGCAGUGUCCCUGACUUGUCGGUAGCGUGACUGCAGCUCAGAGAGCAAGUCAUGCCAACCAGGGCCUUCCCCUCCAGAGCCACUGCUUUGCUGCCUUACCAAAUAACGAAUCAAAUGUUUCUUUCCUUUACUUUCUGUUUAGAAUUAAGGACAACUUUUAUUAGCAUCUUUGUCUAAGCUAUAGCAUUAACUCCCAGUUUUUAAUUACAUCUUCUUCACAAAUGUAUUGCAAUUAAUAUUAAAAAUCAGGAAGCCUUGUACUUUGCUAAUAAACUCUGGUGUUUGCAAAUCUGAUUAAGCUCUAAUUAGAAUUCCUUUAUAUUCAAUCUGUUUCGAAUUACUUUUCUGACUAUAAAAAUGUGUAUAUUGUAAAAGAUUCAGGUAAUAUAGAGGGCAAAAUAAAAAUCACCUGUAAUCCCAUUACCCAGAGAUAACCACAUAAUAACAUUUUGUGGUUUCUUUUAGUCUUUUUUUUCUGUAAACUAUAUAUUCGCAAAACUGAGAUCAGUUUAGUGUCAUUUUUUCAGUCAGUAUAGUGUGAGCUCAUUAAAUAUUUGAAAAACAUGAUUUUAAAUUGAUUUCUAAUAUUUCAUGUUAUGCAUGUGCCAUUGAUUUGUUCCUCUUUGAAUCAUUGCCCUCUAUUACUGUUACAUGCACUGGUUGUCUUUCAGUGGAUAGCAGUUGAUAUUAUCAAUUUUUAAAGUCAGUUUGAUAGUUAAAAAAUAGUAUCUUAUACUAUGUAUUGAGUCUUAAGUAUCAAAAUUGCCUAAUUUUUAGAUCAUUUCUUGUUACUUUUAUUUAUGAAUUGUAAAGAUUAAAUAAAAUUAUGGUAUAUUUUUCAGGUAAAAAUUAUUUCAAAAGUUGAAAUAAGUGGUGUUUGUUUUGGUAAAAUUUUACUUCUUUCUAAAGUGUUUUGAUGCAUUUAUUCAUUCAGUCAGCAGAUAUUUAUUCAAUUCCUUCCAGUACAAGGUGUUAAUUGGUUAGAAUAAAAGAAGAAAAGUAUGCUUUCUGCCUUCUAGAAGCUUACAAUUCAGUGAUGGUAACAUAUGUAAAUAUGUGAUAAUGUAACACAAAGAAAUAAAUAUUAAAAUAAAGCUGCAAGCUGGGUGCUGAGAAAACACAAAAGGAAGGUGAUGAAUUUUGACCAGCAGAAUCAAGGGAAGACUUCCUGGAAGAGCUGACAUUUGAGCUGAGCCUUGAAGCAUGGAUUUAAUUUCACUGGGGAAGGCAGUACAGGGCAUUUGAGGCUGAGAGUAUAGUACAUUCAGAGCCAAAGAGGGCUGAGAGCAUAUGUCAUAUUUGAGAAAAGUGAAUGUCCCAGAGAGUCUGGUGUGUUACAUGCCAUAUGGUGGUCAAGUGUAAAGGGGGUAAGGCAGAGAGUGGUUGUAGCCAGUGAACCUACAGCAAGAUAAUCAAUUCAUACGUGCCUGGCUCUGUGCUAAGCUCCUUCUUAUAAGUAGCUUAGCUCAUUGAAUUCACGUUACAAUCCUGUGAACUAUGUAUGUGGCCACUCACAGACGGAAGUAGAAACUCAGAAAGCCUGAGUGAUUCCCUCUAAGUUACAAAGCUUAUAAGAGACAGAACCAGUCCUGAAGUCCAUUCCUUUUUUCACUAUACCAGAUUGAGAAUAUCACCCACUGUAUCUCACAGUAUCAUCUUGAACAUCAGUUGAGAUGAUGAACGUGAAAGUGCUGAUGCCGGGCGCGGUGGCUUACGCCUAUAAUCCCAGCACUUUGGGAGGCUGAAGCCGGUGGAUCACCUGAGUUGGGAGUUCGAGGCUAGCCUGACCAACAUGGAGAAACCCAAUCUGUACUAAAAAUACAAAAAAAUCAGCCGGAUGUGGUGGUGCAUGCCUGUAAUCGCAGCUACUCGGGAGGCUGAGGCAGGAGAAUCGCUUGAACCCAGGAGGCGGAGGUUGUGGUGAGCCGAGAUCGUGCCAUUGCACUCCAGCCUGGGCAACAAGAGUGAAACUCCGUCUCAAAAAAAAAAGAAAGAAAGAAAGUACUUUCUGUAAGCACUGUGCACAUGAUAAGAAUUAUUGUCUGGCAUAGUUUUUGUUAUUGUUGUUGAGCAAAUAAGCUUCAGGUGCUUUUAGAAUCUUAACUCAGUAUUUUAAAGGUGACACAUUUAUUACCAUACUAUUAAUAGUACUGUAAUGUUUCUUUUUAGGUGUAGAGUUAGGAGACAAUCUUGAAAAAUUAGGUAAGAAGGAAAUUAUGAUGGAAAAUUUCAAACAUAUAUAAAGUAGGCCCAGUAGAAUGUUCUGCGUACUCAUCCCCACCUUCAACAUUGGGCAACUCAUAGCCAAUUUUGUUUCAUUUCUACACUCUCCCCUCCCCUUUCUUAUGUUAUCGUAAAGCCAACAUGUAUUUCUUUUCUUCUUGUUUUUUUAACCUUUUCAGAUAUGUGGAAAUACUCUUAAUAUUCUUUUAAAAAUCUAAUUAUAAGUACUAAAAAAGAUAGGUUGGUAGCUGAGACUAAAGGACUGUUAUGUGAAUGAGUUAUUCUCUGACAGGAACUAGCAGGUAAACAGGAUAUUUUAUUUCUCAAGAUUUUCAUAUGAUGGUGACCAACUGCAUUGCAAAAGAAUGGUCACAUUCCAGGGUUGUAACUAGUUCUGGAGGCUUAGUUACGCAAUUGCCGGCUCUGUCAUCUUCUACAGGGAUGUGACCUUACGGAAAAGUAAGGAAUCUGGAGCGUGGCAGAUCACUUUGAAGCUUGCCCAGUUUUUGCAUGUUAUCGUGUAAUAGUGCUAAAACUUUUUGUCCUCCAGCUAGGCAACAUAAGUAUGUAAUUUAGACUUUGGGAAUACUGUAGAGCUGUGAUAAACCCUGCUUUAAGCUGCAUUCUGGGAUCGUAACAUGUAAUUUAGAAGUCAAAAUCCACUUAGAAGAAAAGAAUUUUUAAAGCACGGUAAAUCAGAACCAUUUUUGUGAUUAAUUUUUAUUGAUCUUUUUAAAUUGUUCAUAAUUUUAUAUUCUGGUUCUCAUAAGAACAAAUACAAAUAAUUUUAAACCUUAAAGAUGUUUAAAUCUGUUAAAUAUUUUAUUUAUGUAGGAUUUUUAUUCCUUAAAGUCACAUGUGGAGUUUUUUAUUUUUAACAAGGUAUUAGUACUAUUAGGUAAUACUAAUAUGCAAUAAAUUGAAUAUAUAGUAAUUUUGUAUGUCUCAAUUAUUUUAAGGUUUUUAUGCAUGCUUGAAUUUUUUUCCAAAAUGAAAUGAAUGUAAAUGCACUUUUGUUUUAAAAUAUUCCAAGACAUCUUUGUAUUAAUACAAGGAAGUUUGUGAGUUGGGGCAGGGAAAAGAGAGAUGGAGGAGAUGAAACUCGUGAUAAGAUUGUCAUAACUCCCAAAUAUAUUGUAAUCACAGAUCUAGGUCGGUUUCUGUCAGAGACAUCACCAUUCCACCAGUCUCCCUUCCUGGAAACCUAGAAAUCUUCACUUUUUCUGCUGUCACUUUCUACAUCUAAUGAAUAGAUCCCUAUUGAUUAUUUAUUUAGAAAAAUCUCUGACCGGGCGUGGUGGCUCAUGCCUGUAAUCCCAGCACUUUGGGAGGCUGAGGCAGGUGGAUCAUGAAGUCAGGAGAUGGAGACCAUCCUGGCUAACAUGGUGAAACCCCAUCUCUACAAAAAAAAAAAAAAAAAAAAAAAAAUACAAAAAAUUAGUCGGGUGUGGUGGCAGGCGCCUGUAGUCCCAGCUACUCGGGAGGCUGAGGCAGGAGAAUGGCGUGAACCCAGGAGGCAGAGGUUGCAGUGAGCCGAGAUCCUGCCACUGCUCUCCAGCCUCAGUGACAGAGCGAGACUCCGUCUCAAAAAAAAAAAAUCUCUGGCCUUUAUCUUUUCCAGGUCCUUGACCAGGCUAUAAGUUCUGAUUUUUGUCAACAUUCAUCUAGACUAAUAGCAGUUGAGAAGAAAUGAACAAAUACAUUUUGGCCGUACCAUUUUAUGUAUAUUUAAUCCUUACAGUAAUCUUGUGAGUUAAGACAGUUAUCUGUAUUUUUCAGAUUGUGAAAACUAGGCAGGCUUUUUCAAAUAUAUUACCCUGCAAAGGUAUCUUCUUGCUCUGAGUCUUUCUUGUUCUGAAUCUUUCUUGCUCUGUAAUACAUUUCAUACAAGAAUGCCAGGAUAAUCUCCCUAAAGUGUAACUUUAUUAUAAUAGCUUAAUAAAACCUGUAAUUACUGGCAAAUUACCAGGGAUUUUCACAUGUUUUGUCUCAUUCUGUACAAACUACCCCAUGAGGUUUAUAUUAUCUCAUAUACACCUUGUAAAAUGACCUGUAAUGACUUUUGUUUCCCAUCAAACCAGUUAUAAACUCUUAAUGUUGAUGAUGUUCCGCAUUUUCUGCUGUGGCUUUGUUAUGCCCUUUCAAUCAUCUCUCUCAAUGUAAACUUGGAGCUAGCUUUAGCCAGCUUCCUUAUGGCCCUCUUCAGAUACCAUUUUUAUUUCUUCCCUAAGGUCUACUCAAAACACAACUCUUGUCCGCCUAAUCCCCACCCCAUCCCCCGCCACCUCUGUCCUCUAAUUUAAACACUGCCAGUCCUACAGAGCCCAUUUCAAGUCCUGCGUUUUCCAAAAAGCUUUUCCCUGGCCAGGCGUGGUGGCUCAAGCAACCUAGCACUUUGGGAGGCCGAGGCGGGCAGAUCACUUGAGGCCAGGAGUUCGAGACCAGCCUGGCCAACAUGGUGAAAACCCACCUCUACUAAAAAUACAAAAAUUGGUGUGUUGGCACAUGCCUGUAAUCCCAGCUACUCGGGAGGCUGAGGCAGGAGAAUCACUUGAACCCGGGAGGCAGAGGUUGCAGUGAGCCAAGGUCGUGCCACUGCACUCCAGCCUGAGCAACAGAGUGAGACUCCAUCUCAAUUAAAAAAAAAAAAAAGAAACCUAAAAGCUUUUCCCAAGAGUUUAUAUAUUCCUGCAUUUUUUUCUUCUUGAUUUCCAUUAUCGUAUCUAUUUGCCCUUGAGCAUAUAUUUCUUAAUAUGUUUUCUUCCUAACUACAAAAGUUAUAUAUGCUUGUGGCAAAAAUAUUAUAUAGGAUAUUUGAAAGUGAAAAGAUAACUCCUCUGACCCCAAUCCCAGUUUGUAGAAUAUGUGUCAUUUUUCUGUGCAUAAGCAAGAAUAUGCAUAGCCAUGCAUACACCCACACCUGUGUACACAUGAGAGGUUAUAUAUAGAUGUAUAUAUAGAUACAUGGAGUUAUAUUUUAUACACAUAUACCAUUCUAUGUCAUUUGUUUUUACUUCAAAGUAUAUUGGAAAUCUUUCCAUGUCAGUGAAUACAAAGAAUUGUGUUUAAAUAUACCUUUUUAUUUCCUCAAAUUGUUUCAUGUCAAAUUGUUUUAUUCAUACACAUCUUAUCUUCCUUUGGAAAAGAAAAUGGAAAGUCCUCAAGAGCAGGAAUGGUUACAUACUCAUUCUCUUUUCCAUUCCAUUAUUCUCUACUCUUGGUGCAUUUAUUGCAUAUUUCACUAUUUUUGCUGUGGGAAAUAAAAGAUGCUUGCCUUCUAAUCCCUAAGGAGUUAGGACCUAGUAGGUAAAAGUCCACAUUUUUACAUAUAACGUUAAUGCAGGAAGAAAUUGAGAAGCAACACAGAUUUCUAUUCCUGGAAAUAUGGCAGUUAGGUUAUUUGAACAAUCUUUCUUGCUGAAAAAUAAUUGAAACUGUUGAGUGUGUAUAAGAAAACAUCCUCAGAGCAGCAAAGGGCUGAAAAGAGAAGGAAUUAAAGACUAAAGUCUGAAGGCAAGUGAAAAUUCAGAAAGAAUUGGAGAACUGAAACUUUUUGUGCUUAACAUAGAAUUCAGCACAAUGAUUUGGAGGUGGUGAGGUCAGGGAGUUUCUAGGGUGCUCAGAAGUUUCUAGUUAUAGACCUGGUGGUAGCUGUACAGGAUAAUUAUUUUCUAAAUUUAAAGUAUAUAUUUUGUGCACUUUUCUAUGUACAUGUUAUAAUUUACAACAAAGGAUUAAAUGUAAAAGGACGAGUUGCAAAACUAUAUAUAUAUAUCAUAUGAUCCCAUACAUGUGUAUUUCAUGUAAAUGAGUAUGUGUGUGUGUAUUAUGUAAACAGGGGUCUUAAUAUAUACAUUUUACACAUUUACAUAGUAAGUAUAUAAAUUUAUGUGUAUGUAUAUAUAAAUGUGUGUAUGUUGGGAAUGGAAGUGUUUGCAUAUGUAUGUUUCAUAUACUUAGAAAAAGACCUGGAGGUACUCACUAAACUACUGACUGAGGCCAUCUCUGAGAGACAGGAAGGGCAUGGGGAAGGAACGAGGAAGGAACUUAGACUUUUUGCUUUAUACCACUCCAAUUAAAUUUUUAAACAAUUGUCAUCAUUUAAUGUGUUUUAAAAUCAGAUUUCUAAAAAGAUUUGACUAACAUCUCUGCCCACGGAUAGAAAAGUACUCCCUCUACCAUGCUCUAUACCACUUGGUACAGUAUCUUUCUUUUCUUUCUUUCUUUCUUUUUUUUUUCUGAUCUUGCUCCUUUGCUAGACUCUUAAAAGGAACAAGACCUGUCACGUUUAUUUUUACAUUUCUUGUACCUACUAAAUAUUGGUACAUAGUAGAGGGUCUAUAAAUACUAGUGAAAACUGAAUGAGUAAAUGUACCUUAAGUAGAACAAAGGGCUGUAGGCACCCAGUAGUUAUACAUUUCCUCUGAGGCUCUUGUUACAUUUUUUAAUAUUCUUCUGUACCUGGCACAGCAGUGAGCAUAAAGUUGGCACAGUAAAUACAGGUUGAUUUGAAUUUAAACAACACUUUGUGGAACUGUAGGCAAAUGUGGAGUCCACCAUGUGGUGCCCCUCUUGAUCCCAGGCAGCAGGGACAUGAAAUUACCCUCUGAAAAGUAAACUGAGAAGUGAACACCUAAUAGAUUAAGGUCAAGAGAGGCAACAUAAUCUUAAGAGACAUAAAGACUCUUUGGGGAGUAAGGUUUUUACUAUAACCUAAUCGAGGGCAUUGACAUCUUAAACACACUCACACAGUCUCCAUCAGAAUAGCGGUUUUUCUGUCUCUAAAACAGAGAAAAAGUAAAGCUAUUAAUGUCACUGUUAUGGUUCCUAACAAAGCACUGUCAGAUCAACAACACCUGCCAGAUUGAGGCAAGCAUUCAGUCCACCUGGCAGAUGUCUAACCCCUGUGGCACUGGAAUCCUACAUAAUUAACUCCACUUGCUGUGCUUCCACACACACCAGGCUUCCCUCUGGAAACUGCCUUCUCAAGGAGAUAAUUCACUAUCAGGCUGAUAGAGUAAUUCAGUUAUGCCCUAUUCUUCUAUUGUUCACUGUGAAUUAAUAAAGUCACAUUAUUUUUUUCUCAGUACAUCAGUGUCUUGUGAGUUUUGUUAGCAUAAAUCUGUAUUCCUGAGUCCAGUCAGUGAGACCGGGUAUCAGAGUCUGCAAGGCUUAUCAGGGUAAAUACUACCUUGUGGCCAUCUGUUGGCACAGACUGCUGGAUUCCCCAGGUGAUGCCCGUCUGCAUCGUUGUGUGCCAUGUUUCCUUUCCAUUCCACACUAGAGUUCUCAGAAGUUAUUAAGAACUCCCUAAUAAUGUGCACAUUCCAGUUAGAGAGUACUAAGUUAUGUUACCCCAUGACAGUUGACCUCUUCUGGGUGAAUAUUAUCUGAUUGAUUUUGCAAAUUCCACACCUGUAUGGAUGAAGAGAAUAUAUAUUGUAGAUGCUAGAUCAUGAGGACUCCCAACACCUCAUUUCUAGUCCUGGCUUCACAGCCUCUUCUGGUCCUCAUCUCACUGUCAGCAUUGAUCCUGGCAUCAUAUUCAAGUCCCCUCCUAACCCGGGUCUCUCUUGAGAGUGAAAACUAAAGAAGAUGGAAGACACAAUGAUUUCAACAAGAUUAAGGAUAAGGAUGCAAGUAGAGCAGGCAGGGAACAAGAUUAUAGAAACUUUUUAUUCCAUUUCCAUCUGUCUCUCUUUCCUCACAACAGUCCCAAUAGCAUUUCAAAGGGUUUCAAGUUCCAUGUAAGUUAUAGAAAAAAAUAAAGCACAAGUUCUCUGUGACAUGUUCAGCUUAUCUAUGAAUAUAACGGAACUGAAACCAUAUUUCAAUAAAUUAUUAACAGCAAUCCCUUGCCAAGAAGGAUAUCAGCGCAGAUAACAGGCCAAAUCCAUUAUAACUCUUAAGCAAAUCCUGGAAUUUUAAAAAAAUUGAAUAGUUUAUCAAAUAAGUGCACUGUUAGCUGCGACUUCGUUAAACAGCAUUUUUUUUCCUUUCUUUCCUGUUCCUCCCCCUUUCCCAUCAGCUUCCAGCCAGAAUAAUUGAUAACUAAAUCUCACCAUGAAUUUGUUGGGAAUUUACCCACAAUAGUUCUCAAUUUAUUUUAAGAUUUAAAAUAAUAUAUUUUUAAAUAGUAGAUUAAGACUUUACAGAAAUUUCAGAUAGGAUAAUACAGAACCUUGAAAAGACUUAUUUUUUACAAACUUCCUUAAAAAUUCUUAAUUGUUCUAACAGUCACAGUUUUGUUUAUGUAUACAAUUGGAGUUCUGCAGUAAGACACUGUGGGGUUAUUAGUACACAUAUCAAAUUCAUGAGGCUCCUAUUCCUGUAUAUUGUUACAGAGCUGUUCUUGUAUAUUGAUGUUUAAUGAUAUGGGGCCGAAUUGUUAUUCAAAUAAUUACAGACCAUUCCUGAUUAUUUAGAUACUGAUUAACUAGUCAAUGACUUAUUCCCUUUGACAAAAUUUCCCACCCUCUGGCUUUCCUUUGAUGUUAAUGAGGAAGAAGAUCCAGUUUUCAUCCCAUUUGGCAAGGUUGGUUUCAUGGACUGAGCCACUCUGGAUGUAAGAUCAGUAGCUACUCUGUAGACUUUAUGGUAAUGGAAGUUAGGUUAGGUUGCAUCAGAACACUCAAAAGUCAAGCCUAUCACCAUAUUUGAGAAGAAACUCACAGUAUUUGAUAUACCUUAGUGGAUUUGAAACAACAUCUUAUGAUACAAAAAAAUAGCAUUUUAAAAAUCGGGUGGGGCACUGUGGAUCACUCCUGUAAUCCCAACACUUGGGGAGGCCAGGGCGGGCAGAUCACUUGAGGCCAGGAUUUCAAGACUAGCCUGGCCAACAUGAUAAAGCCCCAUCUCUAUUAAAACUACAAAAAUUAGCUGGGCAUGGUGGUGCACGCCUGUAGUACCAGCCACUCGGGUAGUUGAGACAUGAGAAUUGCUUUAACCCGGGAGGCAGAGGUUGCAGUGAGCCAAGAUCAUGCCACUGCACUCUAGCCUGGGCGACAGAGCAAGACUGUCUCAAAAAAAAAAAAAAAAAAAAAAAAAAAUUCAAA
Gorilla gorilla gorilla (western lowland gorilla) is the source of this 12785-nucleotide long non-coding RNA. RefSeq lists it as uncharacterized. The transcript is spliced from 2 exons. Lineage: Eukaryota; Metazoa; Chordata; Mammalia; Primates; Hominidae. The record is from RefSeq and is a predicted model, not a curated record.